RNAcentral lists this ribosomal RNA (256 nucleotides) under uncultured bacterium. RNAcentral describes it as "partial 16S ribosomal RNA". It matches the Rfam family "Bacterial small subunit ribosomal RNA", at positions 524 to 777 of the family's 1533-position model. The record is from RNAcentral.
UACGAGGGGGGCAAAUGUUGUUCGGAAUCACUGGGCGUAAAGGGAGCGUAGGCGGGUUUUUAAGUCAGGUGUUUAAUCCCGGGGCCCAACCCCGGACAGGCACUUGAAACUGGGAAUCUUGAAUAGUGGAGAGGUCAGUGGAAUUGGGGGUGGUAGCGGUGGAAUGCGUAGAGAUCCCCAAGAACACCCGUUGCGAAAGGCGGCUGACUGGACACAUAUUGACGCUGAGGCUCGAAAGCGUGGGGAGCAAACAGGG